UACGAAGGGGGCUAGCGUUGUUCGGAAUUACUGGGCGUAAAGCGAACGUAGGCGGUGUUCCAUGUCAGAGGUGAAAGCCUGGGGCUCAACUCCAGAAUUGCCUUUGAAACGGGAACGCUUGAGUCCGAGAGAGGAUGGCGGAAUUCCUAGUGUAGAGGUGAAAUUCGUAGAUAUUAGGAAGAACACCGGUGGCGAAGGCGGCCAUCUGGCUCGGUACUUACGCUCAGGUUCGAAAGCGUGGGGAGCAAACAGG
Molecule: ribosomal RNA, 253 nt
Filed under: uncultured bacterium
Lineage: Bacteria
Description: partial 16S ribosomal RNA
Rfam family: Bacterial small subunit ribosomal RNA
Source: RNAcentral